UGGGGAAUAUUUGGCAAUGGGCGAAAGCUUGACCAAGCAAUACCGCGUGAAGGAUGACGGCCUUAGGGUUGUAAACUUCUUUUCUGAUUGAUGAAAUUCUGACAGUAUUUCAGGAAUAAGCAUCGGCUAACUUCGUGCCAGCAGCCGCGGUAAUACGGGGGAUGCAAGCGCUAUCCGGAUUUAUUGGGCGUAAAGCGUUCGUAGAUGGUUGUUUAAGUUUAAUGUUAAAUUGCAAGGCUUAACCUUGAACCUGCAUUAAAAACUGAACGACUUUAGUACAAUAAGGGUAGAGGGAAUUUCCAGUGUAGCGGUGAAAUGCGUAGAUAUUGGAAAGAACGCCUAUAGCGAAAGCACUCUACUGGGUUGUUACUGAAAUUGAGGAACGAAAGCUAGGGGAGCAAAGC
This 404-nucleotide ribosomal RNA is filed under the name uncultured bacterium. RNAcentral's name for it is "partial 16S ribosomal RNA". It matches the Rfam family "Bacterial small subunit ribosomal RNA", at positions 355 to 774 of the family's 1533-position model. The record is from RNAcentral.